CGCCUUAUACUCCUACGGGAGGCAGCAGUGGGGAAUUUUGGACAAUGGGGGCAACCCUGAUCCAGCAAUGCCGCGUGAGUGAAGAAGGCCUUCGGGUUGUAAAGCUCUUUUGUCAGGGAAGAAACGGUAGUAGCUAAUAUCUAUUACUAAUGACGGUACCUGAAGAAUAAGCACCGGCUAACUCUGUGCCAGCAGCCGCGGUAAUACAGAGGGUGCAAGCGUUAAUCGGAAUUACUGGGCGUAAAGCGCGCGUAGGUGGUUUGUUAAGUUGGAUGUGAAAUCCCCGGGCUCAACCUGGGAACUGCAUUCAAAACUGACUGACUAGAGUAUGGUAGAGCGUGGUGGAAUUUCCUGUGUAGCGGUGAAAUGCGUAGAUAUAGGAAGGAACACCAGUGGCGAAGGCGACCACCUGGACUGAUACUGACACUGAGGUGCGAAAGCGUGGGGAGCAAACAGGAUUAGAUACCCCUGUAGUCCACGUACCA
RNAcentral lists this ribosomal RNA (485 nucleotides) under uncultured bacterium. Its description in RNAcentral is "bacterial SSU rRNA". It matches the Rfam family "Bacterial small subunit ribosomal RNA", at positions 327 to 804 of the family's 1533-position model. The record is from RNAcentral.